Passer domesticus (house sparrow) is the source of this 752-nucleotide long non-coding RNA. RefSeq lists it as uncharacterized. NCBI's taxonomy places the organism in Eukaryota, Metazoa, Chordata, Aves, Passeriformes, Passeridae. The record is from RefSeq and is a predicted model, not a curated record. The transcript is spliced from 2 exons.
CCAAAAAUCUCUUGGGAGGGGAAAACCUGGAGAUCUCUGUGUGAUCAGAAAUUCCUUGGGAGGGGAAAACCUGGAGAUCUCUGUGUGACCAAAAAUCUCUUGGGAGAGGAAAACCUGGAGAUCUCUUUGUGACCAAAAAUCCACUGGCACAGGAGAAGCUGGAGAUCUUUAUGACUCAUUUUUGUGACCAGAAAUCCCUUGUCACAGGAGAGCCCAGAGAUCUCUUUGUGACCAGAAAUCCCUUGGCACAGGAGAGCCCAGAGAUCUCUUUGUGACCAGAAAUCCCUUGGCACAGGAGAGCCCAGAGAUCUCUUUGUGACCAGAAAUCCCUUGGCACAGGAGAACCCAGAGAUCUUUGUGACCAGAAAUCCCUUGGCAUGGGAGAGCCCAGAGAUCUCUUUGUGACCAGAAAUCCCUUGGCCCAGGAGAGCCCAGAGAUCUCUUUGUGACUUGUUUUCCUUCGGGCUCGCUGGCGGGUGACACAAGUGGAAAGUGGAGCUAUUAAUGAGCAGCUCUGCAGGGAAAGGGAAUUCGUGUCCUGUGGAUCAAAGGAAUUUGCUGGGGUUGGUGGCAUUGCCUUCAAGCUUCCCUGGCCUCAGAGGCUGUUUUAACCCCUUGCUAGCAGCGGGCUCUGCUCCAGACACGGAAUAUCUGGAAGCACUUGGCACGGCCUGCAGGAAUCUGGUUUAGUUCUCGGAGCCCAGCGUUUGACAUGCAAUUAAAAGGCUGCGAGCUUUGCUCACCCUUAUAAA